UACGUAGGGGGCGAGCGUUGUCCGGAUUCAUUGGGCGUAAAGAGCUCGUAGGCGGCUUGGCAAGUCGGAUGUGAAAACUCCAGGCUCAACCUGGAGCCGCCCAUUCGAUACUGCUAUGGCUAGAGUCCGGUAGGGGAGUGUGGAAUUCCCGGUGUAGCGGUGAAAUGCGCAGAUAUCAGGAGGAACACCGGUGGCGAAGGCGGGUCUCUGGGCCGAUACUGACGCUGAGGAGCGAAAGCGUGGGGAGCGAACAGG
This 255-nucleotide ribosomal RNA is filed under the name uncultured bacterium. RNAcentral's name for it is "partial 16S ribosomal RNA". It matches the Rfam family "Bacterial small subunit ribosomal RNA", at positions 524 to 776 of the family's 1533-position model. The record is from RNAcentral.